This 497-nucleotide ribosomal RNA is filed under the name uncultured bacterium. RNAcentral describes it as "partial 16S ribosomal RNA". It matches the Rfam family "Bacterial small subunit ribosomal RNA", at positions 28 to 507 of the family's 1533-position model. The record is from RNAcentral.
GACGAACGCUGGCGGCGUGCCUAAUACAUGCAAGUUGAGCGCUGAAGGUUGGUACUUGUACCAACUGGAUGAGCAGCGCACGGGUGAGUAACGCGUGGGGAAUCUGCCUUUGAGCAGGGGACAACAUUUGGAAACGAAUGCUAAUACCGCAUAAAAACUUUAAACACAAGUUUUAAGUUUGAAAGAUGCAAUUGCAUCACUCAAAGAUGAUCCCGCGUUGUAUUAGCUAGUUGGUGAGGUAAAGGCUCACCAAGGCGAUGAUACAUAGCCGACCUGAGAGGGUGAUCGGCCACAUUGGGACUGAGACACGGCCCAAACUCCUACGGGAGGCAGCAGUAGGGAAACUUCGGCAAGAGGCGAAAGUCUGACCGAGCAACGCCGCGUGAGGGAAGAAGGUUUUCGGAUCGUAAAACUCGGUUGGUAGAGAAGAAAGUGGGUGAGAGUGGAAAGCUCACCAAGUGACGGUAACUACCCAGAAAGGGACGGCUAACUACGUG